CGUGAGCAAUCUGCCCAUAUCAGGGGGAUAACAGUUGGAAACGACUGAUAAUACCGCAUAAUAUUGUUGGAAGGCAUCUUCCGACAAUCAAAGAUUUAUCGGAUAUGGAUGAGCUCGCGUCUGAUUAGCUUGUUGGUGAGGUAACGGCUCACCAAGGCGACGAUCAGUAGCCGACCUGAGAGGGUGAUCGGCCACAUUGGGACUGAGACACGGCCCAAACCCCUACGGGAGGCAGCAG
Molecule: ribosomal RNA, 238 nt
Filed under: uncultured bacterium
Lineage: Bacteria
Description: partial 16S ribosomal RNA
Rfam family: Bacterial small subunit ribosomal RNA
Source: RNAcentral